AUUGAACGCUGGCGGCAGGCCUAACACAUGCAAGUCGAGCGGAUGAAGGGAGCUUGCUCCUGGAUUCAGCGGCGGACGGGUGAGUAAUGCCUAGGAAUCUGCCUGAUAGUGGGGGAUAACGUCCGGAAACGGGCGCUAAUACCGCAUACGUCCUGAGGGAGAAAGUGGGGGAUCUUCGGACCUCACGCUAUCAGAUGAGCCUAGGUCGGAUUAGCUAGUUGGUGGGGUAAAGGCCUACCAAGGCGACGAUCCGUAACUGGUCUGAGAGGAUGAUCAGUCACAGUGGAACUGAGACCCGGCCCAGACUCCUCCGGGAGGCAGCAGGGGGGAAUAUUGGACAUGGGGCGAAACUCUGACCCAGCCAGGCCGGGUGUGGGAAGAAGGUCUUCGGAUUGUAAAGCAUUUUAGGUGGGGAGGAAGGGAAGUAAGUUAAUACCUUCGUGUUUUGCCGUAACCAAAAGAAAAAGCCCCGGCUAACUUCGUG
RNAcentral lists this ribosomal RNA (484 nucleotides) under uncultured bacterium. RNAcentral describes it as "partial 16S ribosomal RNA". It matches the Rfam family "Bacterial small subunit ribosomal RNA", at positions 30 to 507 of the family's 1533-position model. The record is from RNAcentral.